This 465-nucleotide ribosomal RNA is filed under the name Vreelandella stevensii. RNAcentral's name for it is "partial 16S ribosomal RNA". It matches the Rfam family "Bacterial small subunit ribosomal RNA", at positions 338 to 795 of the family's 1533-position model. Lineage: Bacteria; Pseudomonadati; Pseudomonadota; Gammaproteobacteria; Oceanospirillales; Halomonadaceae. The record is from RNAcentral.
CCUACGGGCGGCUGCAGUGGGGAAUAUUGGACAAUGGGGGCAACCCUGAUCCAGCCAUGCCGCGUGUGUGAAGAAGGCCCUCGGGUUGUAAAGCACUUUCAGUGAGGAAGAACGCCUGGUGGUUAAUACCCAUCAGGAAAGACAUCACUCACAGAAGAAGCACCGGCUAACUCCGUGCCAGCAGCCGCGGUAAUACGGAGGGUGCGAGCGUUAAUCGGAAUUACUGGGCGUAAAGCGCGCGUAGGUGGCUUGAUAAGCCGGUUGUGAAAGCCCCGGGCUCAACCUGGGAACGGCAUCCGGAACUGUCAAGCUAGAGUGCAGGAGAGGAAGGUAGAAUUCCCGGUGUAGCGGUGAAAUGCGUAGAGAUCGGGAGGAAUACCAGUGGCGAAAGCGGCCUUCUGGACUGACACUGACACUGAGGUGCGAAAGCGUGGGUAGCAAACAGGAUUAGAUACCCUGGUAGUC